Molecule: ribosomal RNA, 281 nt
Filed under: uncultured Glomus
Lineage: Eukaryota; Fungi; Glomeromycota; Glomeromycetes; Glomerales; Glomeraceae
Description: partial 18S small subunit ribosomal RNA
Rfam family: Eukaryotic small subunit ribosomal RNA
Source: RNAcentral
CCGAUAGCGUAUAUUAAAGUUGUUGCAGUUAAAAAGCUCGUAGUUGAAUUUCGGGGUUAGUAGGUUGGUCAUGCCUCUGGUAUGUACUGGUCUCACUGAUUCCUCCUUCCUGAUGAGCCGUAAUGCCAUUAAUUUGGUGUUGCGGGGAAUUUGGACUGUUACUUUGAAAAAAUUAGAGUGUUUAAAGCAAGCUAACGCUUGAAUACAUUAGCAUGGAAUAAUGAAAUAGGACGUUCGAUCCUAUUUUGUUGGUUUCUAGGAUUGACGUAAUGAUUAAUAGG